RNAcentral lists this ribosomal RNA (475 nucleotides) under uncultured organism. RNAcentral's name for it is "partial 16S ribosomal RNA". It matches the Rfam family "Bacterial small subunit ribosomal RNA", at positions 330 to 797 of the family's 1533-position model. The record is from RNAcentral.
CGUACACUCCUGCGGGAGGCAGCAGUGGGGAAUAUUGCACAAUGGGCGCAAGCCUGAUGCAGCCAUGCCGCGUGUAUGAAGAAGGCCUUCGGGUUGUAAAGUACUUUCAGCGGGGAGGAAGGCGAUAAGGUUAAUAACCUUGUUGAUUGACGUUACCCGCAGAAGAAGCACCGGCUAACUCCGUGCCAGCAGCCGCGGUAAUACGGAGGGUGCAAGCGUUAAUCGGAAUUACUGGGCGUAAAGCGCACGCAGGCGGUCUGUCAAGUCGGAUGUGAAAUCCCCGGGCUCAACCUGGGAACUGCAUUCGAAACUGGCAGGCUAGAGUCUUGUAGAGGGGGGUAGAAUUCCAGGUGGAGCGGUGAAAUGCGUAGAGAUCUGGAGGAAUACCGGUGGCGAAGGCGGCCCCCUGGACAAAGACUGACGCUCAGGUGCGAAAGCGUGGGGAGCAAACAGGAUUAGAUACCCCGGUAGUCCC